CCUACGGGUGUCAGCAGUGGGGAAUAUUGCACAAUGGGGGAAACCCUGAUGCAGCGACGCCGCGUGAAGGAAGAAGUAUUUCGGUAUGUAAACUUCUAUCAGCAGGGAAGAACAUGACGGUACCUGACUAAGAAGCCCCGGCUAACUACGUGCCAGCAGCCGCGGUACUACGUAGGGGGCAAGCGUUAUCCGGAUUUACUGGGUGUAAAGGGAGCGUAGGCGGUGCAGCAAGUUAGAAGUGAAAGCCCUGGGCGCAACUCCGGGACUGCUUUUGAAACUGUUGAACUAGAUUGCAGGAGAGGUAAGGGGAAUUCAUAGUGUAGCGGUGAAAUGCGUAGAUAUUAGGAGGAACACCAGUGGCGAAGGCGGCUUACUGAACUGUAAAUGACGCUGAGGCUCGAAAGCGUGGGGAGCAAACAGGAUUAGAUACCCUGGUAGUC
This 440-nucleotide ribosomal RNA is filed under the name uncultured bacterium. RNAcentral describes it as "partial 16S ribosomal RNA". It matches the Rfam family "Bacterial small subunit ribosomal RNA", at positions 338 to 795 of the family's 1533-position model. The record is from RNAcentral.